GAUGAACGCUGGCGGCGUGCCUAAUACAUGCAAGUCGAGCGAACGGACGAGAAGCUUGCUUCUCUGAUGUUAGCGGCGGACGGGUGAGUAACACGUGGAUAACCUACCUAUAAGACUGGGAUAACUUCGGGAAACCGUAGCUAAUACCGGAUAAUAUUUUGAACCGCAUGGUUCAAAAGUGAAAGACGGUCUUGCUGUCACUUAUAGAUGGAUCCGCGCUGCAUUAGCUAGUUGGUAAGGUAACGGCUUACCAAGGCAACGAUGCAUAGCCGACCUGAGAGGGUGAUCGGCAAACCUGGAACUGAGACACGGUCCAGACUCCUACGGGAGGCAGCAGUAGGGAAUCUUCGGCAAUGGGCGAAAGCCUGACGGAGCAACGCCGCGUGAGUGAUGAAGGUCUUCGGAUCGUAAAACUCUGUUAUUAGGGAAGAACAUAUGUGUAAGUAACUGUGCACAUCUUGACGGUACCUAAUCAGAAAGCCACGGCUAACUACGUG
This 497-nucleotide ribosomal RNA is filed under the name uncultured bacterium. RNAcentral describes it as "partial 16S ribosomal RNA". It matches the Rfam family "Bacterial small subunit ribosomal RNA", at positions 28 to 507 of the family's 1533-position model. The record is from RNAcentral.